RNAcentral lists this long non-coding RNA (261 nucleotides) under Brachypodium distachyon (stiff brome). RNAcentral describes it as "long non-coding RNA (BDIS_LNC003257)". The record is from RNAcentral. Lineage: Eukaryota; Viridiplantae; Streptophyta; Magnoliopsida; Poales; Poaceae.
CCUGUAUAAAGUUCACUUGUGGCUGUGACGUCUCUCUUUUAAUUGAAUAAUGGCAGCACCGUCGGGGGGAUUUUGGUCACUUUCAGAUCUCUCACAUGGGAUGCUAUAUCUUUUUUUUAACGGGAUGGGAUGCUAUAUCUGUCAUCAAAAAACCAAAAUAAUCAGGUUGCUUGUUUACAACAAUUUAGGAUCAGAGGGAGUAGCUUCUUUAUUUCCAGACAUUUUUUUCUAUCAUUUUGUAUCAGGUGGUCCAUAACCUAG